Molecule: ribosomal RNA, 460 nt
Filed under: uncultured bacterium
Lineage: Bacteria
Description: partial 16S ribosomal RNA
Rfam family: Bacterial small subunit ribosomal RNA
Source: RNAcentral
CCUACGGGUGGCAGCAGUGAGGAAUAUUGGUCAAUGGACGGAAGUCUGAACCAGCCAUGCCGCGUGCAGGAAGACGGCUCUAUGAGUUGUAAACUGCUUUUGUACAAGGGUAAACCUGAACACGUGUAUUUAGCUGAAAGUACUGUACGAAUAAGGAUCGGCUAACUCCGUGCCAGCAGCCGCGGUAAUACGGAGGAUCCAAGCGUUAUCCGGAUUUAUUGGGUUUAAAGGGUGCGUAGGCGGAUUGUUAAGUUAGAGGUGAAAUGUUGGAGCUUAACUCUGGAACUGCCUGUAAAACUGGUGAACUAGAGAGUGGAUGCGGUAGGCGGAAUGUGUGGUGUAGCGGUGAAAUGCUUAGAGAUCAUACAGAACACCGAUUGCGAAGGCAGCUUACCAAUCUAUAUCUGACGUUGAGGCACGAAAGCGUGGGGAGCAAACAGGAUUAGAUACCCCUGUAGUC